This 1341-nucleotide long non-coding RNA is filed under the name Numida meleagris (helmeted guineafowl). RNAcentral's name for it is "lncRNA (ENSNMEG00000012418.1)". Lineage: Eukaryota; Metazoa; Chordata; Aves; Galliformes; Numididae. The record is from RNAcentral.
AUGCAAACUUUUGCACUCACCCUCUCCCCUCCCCCCCCCAGCUCCUACCUUUGGCCCCGGGCCCCCCUCGGGUGGGGGCUGCGCUGCCCGGCCCCCCCUGCUCCGUUCUUUUCGUGGGGGUCGUCGCCGUCCCCUUCGAGGGGGUUGUGCCCUUCGGGGUGGUCGCGGCUGUUCCCUUCGGGGGGGCCGUGCCCUUCGGGGUGGUCGCGGCUGUUCCCUUCGGGGGGGCCGUGCUCUUCGGGGGAGCCGUGGCGGCGCUUUUCGGGGGGGCUGUGCCCCUCGGGGGGGUCGCGGCGGAGCCCCCCGGGCCGCCCAUCCCCAAGGCCUCGGGUCGGAGCGCGGUACCGGGGGGCGCCGGGGGGGCGGCCGCGGCGGCGAAGAGCAGCAGCAGCGCGAGGGGGGGGGGCGGCAUGGCGAGACGGGACGGGACCGGACGGGACGAGCGGAGCGCGGCUCAGCGCUCAGCGCUCAGCCCCGGCCCUGCCCGCUCCCCUCUCCGCGGCCCCCCCGCCCCGUCCCGUCCCCGCCUCCUCCCCUCCUCGCCCCCCACCCCGCUGCGCUCUGCGGAACCCGGCCGUGCGCGGGGCUCGGAGCGGCGAGGAGGGGCUCGGGGGACCCCGGCUUGGGGGAGGACCGGUUUCGGGGAGCGGUGGAAAUAGAGGACGCGUGAAUGGACCCCCACCCCGGGACCCCUUUUUCUGCACGCUCCUCCCAUCCCCGCCCGCUCGGCGCUGGGGGAGCCGGUGGAGCCGCCCCCCGACCCACUGCCCCCCGCCUCGGAGACCCCCAGGACGCGGCCCCGGGGCAGCGAGGUGCCCGUGGCUGGGGCCGCCCCAUCCCCAGCUGCGCCCCAUAUCCCGGCGUGUUCUCGCCAUGGGGUUUCGUUCCGCCCUUCCACAACUGUUUCUGAUUACACAGCACUUCUGCUCGCGAACCCUUCCCGGCCCGGAGCCACGCUCUCGGCGCUUUCCCGUCCCUCCGCCGCCCUCCCGCUGUCCCCAUAUGCCCCCGGUGUGGGGUGGGGGCUCCCGGCUGUGCCCCAUCUCUGCACCCGGAGACCCCGAGCACCCCCACCCCGGCCCUACGGCUGAGCACGGGCCGCUCAUCACACCGCGCCGGUGCCGCCGGCUGAGCCCGGGCACCCACGAGGCCACGUAUGGAGCUGAGCCCCACAGCCAGCUCCGGCUGAGCCCCCCACCACCCUGGCCCUGCCCUGGCAGCAGGGGACAGCGGGGGACGUGUGUGGUGCCCUCCCCUGUGCUGUGCCUGGCAGCAUGGGGACCCCCAGGGCACUGGCACCCACCGUGCCCCACACACGUCCCCGCAGCGGGGUGGCCAUGA